Molecule: transfer RNA, 72 nt
Filed under: Loxodonta africana (African savanna elephant)
Lineage: Eukaryota; Metazoa; Chordata; Mammalia; Proboscidea; Elephantidae
Rfam family: tRNA
About the family: Transfer RNA (tRNA) molecules are approximately 80 nucleotides in length. Their secondary structure includes four short double-helical elements and three loops (D, anti-codon, and T loops).
Source: Rfam by way of RNAcentral
GGUUCCGUGGUGUAAUGGUGAGCGUUCUGGACUCUGAAACCAGCAAUCGGAGCUGAAGUCUCGGUGGGACCU